AUUCCAUUCAGGCUCUCGCCAUGGCCGGCCUGAUCCGGGCAGCACAAUCUGCUCUUUGAGCCUGGCCCAGCCAGGCAGGACAGUGGUGCCUUUGCCCACGUCCAGCAUGGGGCUGGGACCCCCAUCUGUGCAGAGAGUGGGGUUUUAGGAAUAGGAUCUCCUGGCCCAUUGUGUACCCAGCCAUGGGCUCGGCCGCCGAGGUGGCUGUUGGCCCAGGGAGGGACUGCCCAACAGACAAUAUAAUCCCUGUGUUCAUCGAUUAUAAGUUAAAGAAAAGGCCCUUAAGUGAAUGUGCCUGGUUUUGGGGGUGGGCUUGUUUGGACAAUGCUGCGCUCUGCAGAGAGGGGGGAGUGGCCCCAAAUCUGUUUCUUGAAUUUAUCAACAUGAUUUUCUUGAAACUCAACAUUGACAGUGACAAAAAUUGUUAGGAAAGAUGAGGAGAAAAAGAAGCCUCCAAGAUGUAUGUUUGUGUUUGACACUUCAUCAGAGGCAAGAGUCAAGUGAGGUUUUGUUAAGAUUUGAGUAACACAUGUGUGAGAUGUCCCCUUCCUGCUCUCUCUCUCCCCAAGCAGCUGGUAUUUAGCAGUUUGAUAUUUAAAUCCAGCUAAAGGGUGCUGUGGGCUGUGUGUGAUAGGGAGAGUUAAUCAUGAAGCAAAUAAAUGAUGCACAGUUGAAGAGAUGUUAAGUAGAUUAAGGAAGUGCAGUGCUGAGCAUCACCUGUAAGCUUUUUUCAGCUAUGAAAGGUUUUUGUAGCUAGCACCAAUGUUACAAGUCGCACAAGCUGUCUGCACUGGCACGCAGUUGUAUUUCCAAGGUAUGUGACCUUGCUG
Long non-coding RNA from Pogoniulus pusillus (Red-fronted tinkerbird), 830 nucleotides. RefSeq lists it as uncharacterized. The record is from RefSeq and is a predicted model, not a curated record. Lineage: Eukaryota; Metazoa; Chordata; Aves; Piciformes; Lybiidae. The transcript has 3 exons.